AUGAGUCACCUUCUCCUCUUGUAAACCUCCCUGCUCUCCUUGUGGAUGAAUCUUCUUUUCUCUUUUCAGCUAUUAGGGAGUUUCAAGAUGCUGAUCCAUGAUCUCUAGGGAGUCAGUCUGCAGACUCUCCUUUAUUUGGAGGUGGAAAUCUUUCAUGCCCACGCACCAGAAGUAGCAGCUAUCUGAUUUCAUUCAUGGAGGCGCAAGAAGAGAGCAAGAGUGCCUCAUGUAGUUUUUUUCCAGAAGCCAAUUAGCCAAACAUUUCAGAAGCAGGAGUUGAAGCCCAGUCUGCCUGUGUCCAAGGGAACCUAUUUGUAAUCUCUACUCCUGCCUAAUUGUGAGCCCCAUUUCUGUUUCCAACCACCCAGAGGGGAGGAAGAUGCCUUUCCACAGAUGAAGAGAGAUGCAGGACUUUCCAAGGUGCUCCUUAAAUACUUGUAGAGCUGAAAUGAAGAACUGGGAUUUCUGAGUCUAGAGAAGCCUUGGAGAUCUCGGCAGCUGCCUACAAAUCCCAGGCCUGACCAGCAUCAGAAGCAAGGGGACCCCUGAAAGGCUAAACACCUCCUCGUCUUGUGAAAGUAGAGAUGACUUGCCAAAGCCACGCACCUAAUUAUCAGCAGAACCAAGGUCUUUGGGCGCUAAUUCACCAUUUUUAAGGAAAUGUUACAAAUAAGACAGAACAGACCUGACUUUGUCUAUUCCAGAAGGCAGAACUAAGACCAAAGGUUAGCAAUUACAAGUGAGGUUGAAGAGUCUCAGGGCUAUUCAGAAAUUCUUUGAUUGAGUUGAAAUUAGCUCUUUAUGAAGUUAUCCAUAGCAACUUUUUCACAGUCCUCCUUAGCUUUUCUUCCUAUCAGCAUAUUAUCUUUCAACUCCUACUUUACUGAGAAGAUCAAGGCCUUCUAACAUAAGUUCCUCAAAAACUCAAAAUUUCUCUCCAUUUUGAUAAAGAAUUUCCUUCCUUCCUUCCCUUUUGAGGUGUAUCCCUCCCAUUCCCCAAGGCUGACAUUCUGCUUUUUCCUGUUCAUGUUCAAAUCUACCCCAUGCAGCCCCUUGAAUUACCACAUUUUAUUGCCAAACUUCUAAUAAAAGUAGCCUCUACUCAAUCAAUCUAUAAACAUUUAUUAAGUGCCUACUUCAGGGAGAUGCUAAGGAUACAAAGAAUGGAAUCAUUUUCCUAUGCAAGGGGCUACAUGCUGUCAGUAUACAUAGAAAAAUAUGAACAGAAAAAGAAGUACUCUGGGAAGGAGGGCACUAUCAAUCAGAGAAUCAGGAAAGCUUCAUGUAUCGGUGCAAACUCAAAGAGGUGAGGGUGAGCGAGGAGGGAGGGCAUUAUAGGCAGAGGGAAUGGCAACUGCAAAGGCAGAAAGAUGGGAGGAGAGUUGUAGUGAAGUACCAUGAGAAAGUCAGUGGGGCUGGACUCCAGAAUGUAGGAAUAAUGUGAAAUGGGGAUGGAGACGUUGGUUGGGGCCAGGUUGUGAAAACUUCAAAAAUGAGAUUAUAUUUGA
Molecule: non-coding RNA, 1508 nt
Organism: Phascolarctos cinereus (koala)
Lineage: Eukaryota; Metazoa; Chordata; Mammalia; Diprotodontia; Phascolarctidae
Source: RefSeq, a predicted model, not a curated record